Molecule: long non-coding RNA, 2343 nt
Organism: Carassius gibelio (silver crucian carp)
Lineage: Eukaryota; Metazoa; Chordata; Actinopteri; Cypriniformes; Cyprinidae
Exons: 3
Source: RefSeq, a predicted model, not a curated record
GGUUCGGGGCGCUGCGCAGACCGAUCGGUGAUGACAUCGAAAAAUCGCGAGAGCCAUACAAGAGUCGUCUCGUCUCCUGUCACCCUCGCGGAGCAGAAGGGACGUUUGGACCCACUGCCAGCAGACUGUAACAGACAGAUGGAUUUUCACACAAACAACAGAAAACAUCAAGAGCAGUGAAGCUGGCACACACAGAAGAAGAAGCAGCAAAGGGGAGAAAGUCUGGAUAAUGAGGCACUGCUAGCAGGAGAUGAUUAUUCACUUUGUGCUUUGAGAAGACAAACUGUCCACUCUGUCUAGAGUUCAGCUCAAUAGCUGCAAAGCCAUAUGGGUAUUCUGCACACAAAUUAUGAUCUGACCGAAGUGAGAUAAAAUAACCAGCAGAUGGCGGGCAAGCGUCAGAAUCCUUUUGAUAUCAGACACACAUCAAUGAAGUUUGGACAUACCAAGAAGGUACUGACAUCCAAAUAUGCAGCACAUAUAAUUAGGAGUCCUUAACAAAAAUAAUGUGGUGAUAUUAUGUGAUGGCUUUAGAUGGUGAUGCUGUGCUACUAUCAUAUACCUUCACAUUUAUAUGGUACAUGCACAGCAUUACAGUAACCCUAACCCUUUGAUGGCGCACUUUACAAAAAAAAAAUUGUUAUUUGAAAGUUGUUUGACAUAACACUUGUAAAAUGAGAAGUGUUGAGAGGCCUCUGGGAGCAGGAUUGAGAAACACUGCAGUAUCAUUCUGUUGGUCAGUUUCAACAUCAACAUGAGGGUGAGUCAGGGGAGCUCUUAUCUUUUAAAGUUUAAUUAGUAACUACUGUAACUUACUAAAUGCAUCCAUGCCCAGAGCGCAUGCAGACACAGUUUUGCAUAUAUUGACACCACAUGGAUUUCAUCUUAUGAAGGCACUUGAACACUGGGAUUUUCUUUUUACACUGUACUAGUUUCUUGUUUUAGGAUUAAUGAUAGCAAAUGAAACCUCAGCGUCAUAUGCCGGUAAAGGGUAAAGCUCAGGACAGUGUGUUAUCAGGGCUCUUCACUGAAAGUUGAGUGGUUUAGGGUUACAUGCUCAAUAUUGCAGAUGAUGUUGUUUAAUAAUUAAUUCUUAUGAAAUCUAAUGUCAGCAUCACCACACUGAGACUUCAGCUACACUGACCUCUUUAUUCACAGUGGUAUUCACUACUAAACCUGGAGCAAUGUUAUAUUCUUUCAUAAGGAAACCAUGGUAAUAUGUGCAAAAUAUAGGUCUCUGACUUUAAAUGUAAUGAAGUCUUAUUCAAUUCAAAUCUACUAUUCUAGAUUCUAGAUUUUAUUUCCCACAAAAACAAACUGAUGUUAUUUAAUUGUAUUCUUUUAAGUUGCAGGACUUCUUAAGACAGAAAUAAAGCUUUUAACCUAACUCAAGAUGAAUUGAAUGUUAUAAAACCAAUUCUAUAAAGAGUAUGGCUUUGUUUACGCCAAUAAAAUUUCAUCUCUACAUAAGAAAUACGUUCAUAAAAAUUACACAGCCAUAACCAGUACUUGUCUGAACUGUGGCUCAGGGUUUGAAUUUAUAUAUUUGAUCACCCACUAUUCAGAAUAUAUAUAUAUAUAUUUUUAUCCAUUAGUGUUUAUGAAAGUUAUGGUUCUGCCUGUACAUGAAAGUAGUAAACCAAGUGCCAACUUAUCCUGUAUUUACAUUUUUAGAAGCAACAUUUAAUGAAUAUAGCAAUGUAAUCUAUUAAAUAAAUCACUCGGGCAGAAACUCAAGCGAAAUGAACACUGUGAACACUGUAGCUUGUAUUCAUGUGUGACUGCACCAGAAUGACUGCCCUAAUUUCAUUGUUCUUGUAUGGCAAUUAAGAAUCCUGAAUCUUGUAGGACAGUUAAGGACAUAAUGGUCAAAUGGUGUUUCCGGUUUCUUGGACAUCAGUCCUCCUCUGUCCUGCUGACAGUCUCUUUCCCUCAGAAUCAGUAAUCAGUCACAUUCAGCUCUGAGUGCUGCAUCUUGGUAAGGCCAGAGAGUAACAUAAAAUCAAUAUUUCAUUAACAUUUAAUGGCUUGGACUGGCUUAAGAGCACCAGGACAGAUGCGUGUACACCAGGUUUCAGAGUGACUUUAGCUGCUGACUUGAUUACAGUUUAGAUGUUCUUCCGGUGAUAGUUAUAGCACUGAUGCUUGAAGGCAAAGCUGAUCCCAGAUCAGCAGCCCCAUUGCUGAACACAGGAAGAUGUUGCUCACAUUCUGAUUUGUGACUCUAGUCUUGCAUUUGUGUUCAGAAUUGAUCUAUGUGCUGGCCUACAGUAAGAAGUACAGACUAUAAGCCGGGACAUACAGUUCUACUAAUGCAGAGGUCAGGGGUCCAUGAUUGGGAUC